CAUAAAUGGUGUGACUUUACUUUGUGUACAACCAGAGAUAUGAAAAAUUAUGCUCUAUAUGUGUAAUAUGAAUUGUAAUGCAUUCUGCUGUCAUAUAUAACAAAUUCAAAUUUUAAAAAAUUAUUUGGAAUUCUUCCAUCAGGAAAAUCUGUCUCUUCUUCCUCUUUUUAUUUUCAAUUGUUUAUGUAUACCAGUAUCAAGUUUAUGUGUAUGUGUAUAAAAUAUUUCAUAUUAUAACCCUAUAUUAUGUUAUUUAUUUUGUCACCCAAAUUAUUGCAGCUUUGGGCAGAGAGACUUCCUUUAGUUUCACUCCUCUGUCUGCUUGUAAUGCUACCCACUUUCAUUUUUUUAGCACAUCCUUACUUUCUAGUACUAAAAUAUACUCUAAAUUCAUUGUGUUAUUUUCUUUCCUCAGUCCUAGAAACAGCUGGUUCCCCAAGGACUUCUGAUUCUUUUUAUUGGAAAAUUAUAUUUAGAAAAAAAAUCUGUGCACCAAAGUACUUAUCUCUCCUGUAAUGUUAUUGCUUCUAGAUUUUUCUCAGUGGCCAGAGUUAGGUAAUAUAUGUAUAUUAAUCUUGUGUGCAUAAAUCUUUAAAAUUCUUUGCUGUAUUAAUCCAUUUGUAUAUUUAUCAUGCAUGCCUACCUGCAUUCAUACUGAUGUACUCAACUCUAGUACCACAAAGUUUCUUCUAGCCUUGGCCUCUUGCUCACCUGAAACUUCCCACUCCCAAAGUAAUAAACACAGCAUUCCCAUCCACUCACUUAUUUGUUCAAUUCCAAUGUAAAUGUAAAUCUGUUUCAGAAUUGUUAACUCAUACAUGACCCCAUGAGAAACACACUUACCAACUAGAAUACACUGUUUAUAAAUAAUUCUUUCCAUCUUCAUCCUUACAGUUUCUAGUUCAAACACUAAUUUCCUAGUGUACUUUGGUCAGCUUUUUUUCCCUCAUACUCUUUAACGAAUUUAUGUAGUUUAUUUAUACUAUAAUAUAUUCAUUUACUGAAGUCUGCAUUCCAUCCCCAGACUUCUGGCAACCUGCUUGAUUUUUUUUAUAGUUUAUAUACAAUAAAGUUCAUUAUGUAUGAUAUACAGUUCUAUGGAUUUUGAAAUACACAGUUAUGCACAAACCACCCCCAAUACUGUGCAGACUUAUUGAGUUGCCCUAAAAUUUUCGUAAGUCCUUUCUGAUUAAACCACCUUCUUGCUCCAUCAAUCCCUGGCCUGUUUUCCGUCUUGGUAGUCUUGUCUCUUCCAGAAUUUCACAUGAAUUAAAUGAUAUGAUAUGUAGCUUUUGGGACCUG
RNAcentral lists this long non-coding RNA (1302 nucleotides) under Marmota monax (woodchuck). Lineage: Eukaryota; Metazoa; Chordata; Mammalia; Rodentia; Sciuridae. The record is from RNAcentral.